UAGAAUAAGCCAGCAGUUAAAGAAAGCGUAACAGCUCAGUCGGCGAUGCGGCCAGUGCGGAAGAUGUAACGGGGCUAAGCCGUGAACCGAAGCAGCGGCAGCGACACUGUGGGUUGUUGGGUAGGGGAGCGUUCUAUAAGACAGUGAAGGUGGCCUGUGAAGGUCGCUGGAGGUAUCAGAAGUGCGAAUGUUGACAUAAGUAACGAUAAAGGGGGUGAAAAGACCGCUCGCCGGAAGACAAAGGGUUGCUGUACAACGUUAAUCGGGGCAGGGUGAGUCGACUUCUAAGGCGAGGCUGAAAGGCGUAGUUGAUGGGAAACAGGUUAAUCUUCGUGUAGUUGGUGUUAUUGCGUAGUGGGGACGGAGCAGGUGUUGUUGUCCGGGCGGCGGUUGUCCUGGUUUGUGGGUGUCGG
This 413-nucleotide ribosomal RNA is filed under the name Salmonella enterica subsp. enterica. RNAcentral's name for it is "bacterial LSU rRNA". It matches the Rfam family "Bacterial large subunit ribosomal RNA", at positions 1107 to 1524 of the family's 2925-position model. The record is from RNAcentral. Lineage: Bacteria; Pseudomonadati; Pseudomonadota; Gammaproteobacteria; Enterobacterales; Enterobacteriaceae.